This 433-nucleotide ribosomal RNA is filed under the name uncultured bacterium. RNAcentral describes it as "partial 16S ribosomal RNA". It matches the Rfam family "Bacterial small subunit ribosomal RNA", at positions 29 to 507 of the family's 1533-position model. The record is from RNAcentral.
AACGAACGCUGGCGGCAGGCCUAACACAUGCAAGUCGAGCGGACCCUCCGGGGUUAGUGGCGGACGGGUGAGUAACGCGUGGGAAUAUGCCCUUCUCUACGGAAUAGUACUGGGAAACUGGGGGUAAUACCGUAUACGCCCUUCGGGGGCAAGAUUUAUCGGGGUAGGAUUAGCCCGCGUUGGAUUAGGUAGUUGCUGGGGUAAUGGCCUAUCAAGGCUACGCUCCAUAGCUGGGUUGAGAGGCAGAUCCGCCACACUGGGUCUGAGAAGCGGCCCGGACUACUGGGGGAGGGAGCAGUGGGGGAUCCUAGAAAACGGGGGCGAUGAUGAACUAGCCCUGCCGGGUGAGUGAUGAAGUCGUUAGGGAUGUAAAGCUGGUUCAGACGGGAAGAUAAUGACGGUACCAGAAGAAGAAGCACCGGCUAACUCCGUG